Molecule: ribosomal RNA, 2464 nt
Filed under: Salmonella enterica subsp. enterica serovar Typhimurium
Lineage: Bacteria; Pseudomonadati; Pseudomonadota; Gammaproteobacteria; Enterobacterales; Enterobacteriaceae
Description: partial 23S ribosomal RNA
Rfam family: Bacterial large subunit ribosomal RNA
Source: RNAcentral
GCAGUGGGAGCACCCUUCGGGGUGUGACUGCGUACCUUUUGUAUAAUGGGUCAGCGACUUAUAUUCUGUAGCAAGGUUAACCGUAUAGGGGAGCCGGAGGGAAACCGAGUCUUAACCGGGCGUUAAGUUGCAGGGUAUAGACCCGAAACCCGGUGAUCUAGCCAUGGGCAGGUUGAAGGUUGGGUAACACUAACUGGAGGACCGAACCGACUAAUGUUGAAAAAUUAGCGGAUGACCUGUGGCUGGGGGUGAAAGGCCAAUCAAACCGGGAGAUAGCUGGUUCUCCCCGAAAGCUAUUUAGGUAGCGCCUCGUGAAUUCAUCUCCGGGGGUAGAGCACUGUUUCGGCUAGGGGGCCAUCCCGGCUUACCAACCCGAUGCAAACUGCGAAUACCGGAGAAUGUUAUCACGGGAGACACACGGCGGGUGCUAACGUCCGUCGUGAAGAGGGAAACAACCCAGACCGCCAGCUAAGGUCCCAAAGUCAUGGUUAAGUGGGAAACGAUGUGGGAAGGCCCAGACAGCCAGGAUGUUGGCUUAGAAGCAGCCAUCAUUUAAAGAAAGCGUAAUAGCUCACUGGUCGAGUCGGCCUGCGCGGAAGAUGUAACGGGGCUAAACCAUGCACCGAAGCUGCGGCAGCGAACGUAUCACCCAAGACAACUUUACGGAGUUGACGAUUGACGGAGCGAAGCGACGUCAAAGCGUUCAUUAAAGUCGAGUUGGCUUAGGGAUACGUUCGUUGGGUAGGGGAGCGUUCUGUAAGCCUGUGAAGGUGUGUCGUGAGGCAUGCUGGAGGUAUCAGAAGUGCGAAUGCUGACAUAAGUAACGAUAAAGCGGGUGAAAAGCCCGCUCGCCGGAAGACCAAGGGUUCCUGUCCAACGUUAAUCGGGGCAGGGUGAGUCGACCCCUAAGGCGAGGCCGAAAGGCGUAGUCGAUGGGAAACGGGUUAAUAUUCCCGUACUUGGUGUUACUGCGAAGGGGGGACGGAGAAGGCUAUGUUGGCCGGGCGACGGUUGUCCCGGUUUAAGCGUGUAGGUGUGUGUUCCAGGUAAAUCCGGUUCACUUUAACACUGAGGCGUGACGACGAGGCACUACGGUGCUGAAGCAACAAAUGCCCUGCUUCCAGGAAAAGCCUCUAAGCAUCAGGUAACAUCAAAUCGUACCCCAAACCGACACAGGUGGUCAGGUAGAGAAUACCAAGGCGCUUGAGAGAACUCGGGUGAAGGAACUAGGCAAAAUGGUGCCGUAACUUCGGGAGAAGGCACGCUGACACGUAGGUGAAGUGAUUUACUCAUGGAGCUGAAGUCAGUCGAAGAUACCAGCUGGCUGCAACUGUUUAUUAAAAACACAGCACUGUGCAAACACGAAAGUGGACGUAUACGGUGUGACGCCUGCCCGGUGCCGGAAGGUUAAUUGAUGGGGUCAGCGCAAGCGAAGCUCCUGAUCGAAGCCCCGGUAAACGGCGGCCGUAACUAUAACGGUCCUAAGGUAGCGAAAUUCCUUGUCGGGUAAGUUCCGACCUGCACGAAUGGCGUAAUGAUGGCCAGGCUGUCUCCACCCGAGACUCAGUGAAAUUGAACUCGCUGUGAAGAUGCAGUGUACCCGCGGCAAGACGGAAAGACCCCGUGAACCUUUACUAUAGCUUGACACUGAACAUUGAGCCUUGAUGUGUAGGAUAGGUGGGAGGCUUUGAAGUGUGGACGCCAGUCUGCAUGGAGCCGACCUUGAAAUACCACCCUUUAAUGUUUGAUGUUCUAACGUGGACCCGUAAUCCGGGUUGCGGACAGUGUCUGGUGGGUAGUUUGACUGGGGCGGUCUCCUCCUAAAGAGUAACGGAGGAGCACGAAGGUUGGCUAAUCCUGGUCGGACAUCAGGAGGUUAGUGCAAUGGCAUAAGCCAGCUUGACUGCGAGCGUGACGGCGCGAGCAGGUGCGAAAGCAGGUCAUAGUGAUCCGGUGGUUCUGAAUGGAAGGGCCAUCGCUCAACGGAUAAAAGGUACUCCGGGGAUAACAGGCUGAUACCGCCCAAGAGUUCAUAUCGACGGCGGUGUUUGGCACCUCGAUGUCGGCUCAUCACAUCCUGGGGCUGAAGUAGGUCCCAAGGGUAUGGCUGUUCGCCAUUUAAAGUGGUACGCGAGCUGGGUUUAGAACGUCGUGAGACAGUUCGGUCCCUAUCUGCCGUGGGCGCUGGAGAACUGAGGGGGGCUGCUCCUAGUACGAGAGGACCGGAGUGGACGCAUCACUGGUGUUCGGGUUGUCAUGCCAAUGGCACUGCCCGGUAGCUAAAUGCGGAAGAGAUAAGUGCUGAAAGCAUCUAAGCACGAAACUUGCCCCGAGAUGAGUUCUCCCUGAGACUUAGAGUCUCCUGAAGGAACGUUGAAGACGACGACGUUGAUAGGCCGGGUGUGUAAGCGCAGCGAUGCGUUGAGCUAACCGGUACUAAUGAACCGUGAGGCUUAACCUUACA